This 500-nucleotide ribosomal RNA is filed under the name uncultured bacterium. RNAcentral describes it as "partial 16S ribosomal RNA". It matches the Rfam family "Bacterial small subunit ribosomal RNA", at positions 30 to 523 of the family's 1533-position model. The record is from RNAcentral.
AUUGAACGCUGGCGGCAGGCCUAACACAUGCAAGUCGAGCGGCAGCGGGUCCUUCGGGAUGCCGGCGAGCGGCGGACGGGUGAGUAAUGCCUAGGAAUCUGCCUGGUAGUGGGGGAUAACGUUCGGAAACGGACGCUAAUACCGCAUACGUCCUACGGGAGAAAGUGGGGGAUCUUCGGACCUCACGCUAUCAGAUGAGCCUAGGUCGGAUUAGCUAGUUGGUGGGGUAAAGGCUCACCAAGGCGACGAUCCGUAACUGGUCUGAGAGGAUGAUCAGUCACACUGGAACUGAGACACGGUCCAGACUCCUACGGGAGGCAGCAGUGGGGAAUAUUGGACAAUGGGCGAAAGCCUGAUCCAGCCAUGCCGCGUGUGUGAAGAAGGUCUUCGGAUUGUAAAGCACUUUAAGUUGGGAGGAAGGGCAGCUAGUUAAUACCUGGUUGUUUUGACGUUACCAACAGAAUAAGCACCGGCUAACUUCGUGCCAGCAGCAGCCGCGG